This 428-nucleotide ribosomal RNA is filed under the name uncultured archaeon. RNAcentral describes it as "bacterial SSU rRNA". It matches the Rfam family "Archaeal small subunit ribosomal RNA", at positions 474 to 903 of the family's 1478-position model. The record is from RNAcentral.
UACCAGCUCUCCGAGUGGUAGGGAUGAUUAUUGGGCUUAAAGCGUCCGUAGCCGGCUUAGCAAGUUUCCUGUUAAACUCAGCGACCUAAUCGUUGAGCCGCGGGAAAUACUACUAGGCUAGGAGGCGGGAGAGGUCGACGGUACUUCUGGGGUAGGGGUGAAAUCCUAUAAUCCCGGGAGGACCACCAGUGGCGAAGGCUGUCGACUAGAACGCGCUCGACGGUGAGGGACGAAAGCUGGGGGAGCGAACCGGAUUAGAUACCCGGGUAGUCCCAGCUGUAAACGAUGCGGGCUAGGUGUUGGGGUGGCUACGAGCUGCUCCAGUGCCGCAGAGAAGUCAUUAAGCCCGCCGCCUGGGAAGUACGGUCGCAAGACUGAAACUUAAAGGAAUUGGCGGGGAGCACCACAAGGGGUGAAGCCUGCGGUUC